RNAcentral lists this ribosomal RNA (118 nucleotides) under uncultured eukaryote. RNAcentral's name for it is "partial small subunit ribosomal RNA". The record is from RNAcentral.
GUUGAUCCGCCACUUCAGAAUCUGGAAGAUAAGAUCCUGCUUCGGCAGCCCAACGAACUCCUCGACCCCUUCCCUCUUGGCGACCUUGUGCAGAUCGUCCACGGUCAUCUUCUGGAGG